Molecule: ribosomal RNA, 400 nt
Filed under: Punctulonicus sp. C27
Lineage: Eukaryota; Metazoa; Arthropoda; Insecta; Blattodea; Blattidae
Description: partial large subunit ribosomal RNA
Source: RNAcentral
CUCUUCUUGUUUAAUAUAUUUGAAGUAUAACCUGCCCACUGAUUUGGUUUUGAAGGGCCGCGGUAUUUUGACCGUGCAAAGGUAGCAUAAUAAUUAGUCUUUUAAUUAGGGACUGGAAUGAAUGGUUGGACGAGGAAUAUACUGUUUCUUAAUAAUUGUUUUGAAAUUAAAGUUUAAGUUAAAAUGCUUAAAUUUCUUUAUGGGACGAGAAGACCCUAUAGAGUUUAAUAUAUUUUAUUAUAAUCUAGUUUGUUAUAAAUUUAUUUAUUGUAAAGUUUAUUUUGUUGGGGUGAUGAAAAUGAAUUAAUAAACUCUUUUUUUUAUUUAUAUAUUUAUUUAUAAUUUUAUGAUCCAUUUUUAUUGAUUAUAAGACUAAAUUACCUUAGGGAUAACAGCGUAA